UGGAUAAGAAAUAUUUCCAAGAAACAAUAGUAGAGAAAUGUAUGGUGCCAUUUGUGAAUAAAUAUUACCCAACUCACCAUAGGAUAUUCCAAGACAAUGAUCCUAAACACUCCGCCUCAGCCAAAUUUAUGGAAGAGAAAGGUAUGAAUUGGGAACGCACACCACCAGAAUCACCAGACAUGAACCCAAUCGAAUUAGUGUGGGCUCAAUUGAAGAGGUACGUUAGGAGUGUUGCAAAGCCAACAACAAAACAGCAACUGGUGGAUGGGAUAAAGAAAUUUUGGCUAGAAGUACUCACACCUGAACAUUGUAAUAAUUAUAUAAAUCACCUGUAUAAAGUAUUACCUGUUGUAGUUGAAAGAAAUGGUCAAGCCACAAAUAUGUAGUUCUGUAUUUUCUGUUUAAAAUUUUAAAUUGGUGCAUUAUUAAAAAAAAUGAUAAAAUUG
Long non-coding RNA from Pseudophryne corroboree (corroboree frog), 446 nucleotides. RefSeq lists it as uncharacterized. NCBI's taxonomy places the organism in Eukaryota, Metazoa, Chordata, Amphibia, Anura, Myobatrachidae. The transcript has 2 exons. The record is from RefSeq and is a predicted model, not a curated record.